UGUUUAUCUUAGGUUUACACAAGUG
RNAcentral lists this non-coding RNA (25 nucleotides) under Mus musculus (house mouse). Lineage: Eukaryota; Metazoa; Chordata; Mammalia; Rodentia; Muridae. The record is from RNAcentral.